AGAGAGAGAGAGAGAGAGAUUGAAAAUGGUGGAUAAUUUGUCAAAGUUCAGUGUCCUUAGGUGAAUAUGUGCAGUCAGUCAAUUGGUUUUCUUUAGAAGCAUUCUAGCAUGGUUAGAUGUGAAAUUGAUGGUUUAUCAGUAGGGAGGAGACAAAUCCAAGGGUGUGGGGAAAUGUUACGAGAUUAAAUUGCUUGUAUGUCUGACAUUUAUAUAUUAACGUGUUAACACAUUUUCAUUUAUUUUUCCAUGUUUAUUAUCAUCUUUGAGUCUGCCUUUGAUGAUCUUAGGUAGAAGACUGUAUAAUAAUAUCUAGUUGUCAGUGUAUACCUUGUACAUUGUGUGUAUAAUAAAAAUGUGAGCAUUCUGUGUCAUGAAUUGUUAUUGAGUUUGCAGAUCGGUAUAACACCGCCCUCGUAUGCCACAGAUGGCAUUUCUUGGCAUGUCACCCUCGCUUGUGGCUGCGAGUAGACCGAUCUGUCAAAGAUUUAUCGGAACCUGGUGUUUUCCCCACCAUCGAGAUGGCUGUCUCUGCUGCUAGGUAUGUACAUUGACAUCUUGCUGCAUGUGAUUUUUGAGUCUGAAUUAUUGGAAGGAAAACUGAUCAUGCAUGUGAUCUUUUAGACCUGGUGACACCAUUCUUAUCUCUGCGGGAGGGAGUCAUCAUGUCUCUAAUAUUCAAAUAAAUAAACCACUUUGCCUGGUAUGUGCCAAUUAUCUAUGCUUGGAGAUGGUGUUUUAGCUUUAACUAGUAACUAGAGCAUAUAGAUAUAUGAAUACCGUAAAUCUAGAAUAUGCAUUAGUGGAUACAUAUUCUAGAUAAGUUCAUCAAUUGAUUGAUUCCCCAAAAAGAAGUGUGCAAGUGAUGUAGGGAGAUAAUUUAAGUCAACCUAAUUCAGUCAACUCCAUCUGUAGUCUGAGCCUGAAAGAACUAAUUGGGUAACGGCAUGUGAAGCAAAGCUGUGAAGGCCUUUGGACAAAAUUCUUUGAUGUAGCUGUAUUGAAUUCCUACCUGCCUGAUUUACAAUACUAGUUUUGGAGUUUAAUAUCCCUAAUAAGUUAUCCUCUCUCACUGUCUGUAGUUGACCCCACUAAUCAUAAUUAUUUUUAUGUAGGUAUUUUUUAACAUUAUUGGCUCUUUGCUUGGUGCACAAGUACAGAAUGCAAGUUAAUUCGAUUUUAAAAUUUGCUUGGCAUCCCUUGGCAAACCCUAUAAUCUUCUAUCUUUUGUUUUUCACAAACUUCACGCCCUUCCCUUUAUUUUUAAGUGGGUUGUAGUUUAACUGUAGGAAUUCAGUUCAUGAAUGCCAUACUUCUGUAGUUCUUAAUUCUUCUACCUGUGCCCUUUGUAUCUCAAUUCUCAACUUGGUUCAGAUUGGUGGAGGCGAGCUUCCCGAUGAAACAACACUCCUAUGUUCUCGAGGUUCAGACAGGUAUGCAAGAUGUCAAUUGCAUUGCUUUGUUAUUGUCUGGUGAUCUUAUUGGAGUUCCCUGUCAAGGAAGUUACUAGGACUCUCCUUACCAUUGGAUUUCAAUGGCCAAAAACUCUAAUUAAAGGAUGAUGUUUAUUCCAAUGUACCAAUAAGGAUAUUUUCUGCUUUCUGACCUUAUUCUACAAGCAAUGCGUUGCAUGCUUGUUGUGCUUGUCAUACCAUCAUAAAACUUGUUGAACUCAGUUAUUAAUUAUCAUUUUAGUAGUUAUCACAAAAAUUUCCCUUCAAAAUCAUCGCAUUACCUUAAAUGCCUAGAUUAAGGCUCUGACAUGCAUGCAACUCUUGAUUAAUUGGGAUGCCUGGUUGUCUGUUGCUUGGUUUAUCAGACUCUGAUAUAAAGAUUUACAGCUUUCCAUGCCUACCUCCAGUGUAAAAUUUUGUUAUCCUACAUCUGUCUGUUAUUUUGCAUCACAAGACAGAAUUUGGUGGUGGUGUUUUUGCAGUGCAUUAGAGUUCUUGUCCACUUGCAAAUUGACGAACCUAACAGUGAAGGCAGAGCUUGGUUGUUGCUUGCUUCAUAGAAGUGGAAGGCUAACCAUAGAUGGCUGCAUCCUUCAAUGUGAGUCAAACCCUUUGGACUAUCUCUCAUACCCAAUCGUGACUACAGCUGGGGGGAAUGAGAUUUUCUCCUCCUCUGUGAAGACAAACUGUGAUGGUGUUUCUGUUUCUCAAACUCGGAUAGAAGGGGGUGCCAAGGCUGUUGUUACAAGUGGGGAGCUGGCCUUGCAGCGAGUCCGAGUCAUCUGUUCUCGAGCUUAUGUUUAUUUCUGGUUUGAUGUAGAACAUAAAUGAUUAUUGUUCAUUCCGAGUUAGCCUGUAACAUAAUGAACCUAGCUUUUUAUUUAUUUCUCAUUGUUGUAUUGAUCAUCAAUAUAAAUGAUUUCAUUCAACAUAGUUUCAGCGUUUCUAAGAAUAAUCAGAAUUUCC
RNAcentral lists this unclassified non-coding RNA (2417 nucleotides) under Hevea brasiliensis (rubber tree). The record is from RNAcentral. Lineage: Eukaryota; Viridiplantae; Streptophyta; Magnoliopsida; Malpighiales; Euphorbiaceae.